ACUAGCUGACCAGUUCAAAAUGGGACGAAAUGCGCAUCCUGGAU
This 44-nucleotide non-coding RNA is filed under the name Trichobilharzia regenti. Lineage: Eukaryota; Metazoa; Platyhelminthes; Trematoda; Strigeidida; Schistosomatidae. The record is from RNAcentral.